AUCUUUUAGAUGACGAAGUGGUUGAUGCCAUGCUUCCAAGAAAAGCUUCUAAGCUUCAGGUAACCAGGAACCGUACCCCAAACCGACACAGGUGGUUGGGUAGAGAAUACCAAGGCGCUUGAGAGAACUCGGGUGAAGGAACUAGGCAAAAUGGCACCGUAACUUCGGGAGAAGGUGCGCCGGUGAGGGUGAAGGACUUGCUCCGUAAGCUCAUGCCGGUCGAAGAUACCAGGCCGCUGCGACUGUUUAUUAAAAACACAGCACUCUGCAAACACGAAAGUGGACGUAUAGGGUGUGACGCCUGCCCGGUGCCGGAAGGUUAAUUGAUGGGGUUAGCUAACGCGAAGCUCUUGAUCGAAGCCCCGGUAAACGGCGGCCGUAACUAUAACGGUCCUAAGGUAGCGAAAUUCCUUGUCGGGUAAGUUCCGACCUGCACGAAUGGCGUAACGAUGGCGGCGCUGUCUCCACCCGAGACUCAGUGAAAUUGAAAUCGCUGUGAAGAUGCAGUGUAUCCGCGGCUAGACGGAAAGACCCCGUGAACCUUUACUAUAGCUUUGCACUGGACUUUGAAUUUGCUUGUGUAGGAUAGGUGGGAGGCUUUGAAGCGUGGACGCCAGUUCGCGUGGAGCCAACCUUGAAAUACCACCCUGGCAACUUUGAGGUUCUAACUCAGGUCCGUUAUCCGGAUCGAGGACAGUGUAUGGUGGGUAGUUUGACUGGGGCGGUCUCCUCCUAAAGAGUAACGGAGGAGUACGAAGGUGCGCUCAGACCGGUCGGAAAUCGGUCGUAGAGUAUAAAGGCAAAAGCGCGCUUGACUGCGAGACAGACACGUCGAGCAGGUACGAAAGUAGGUCUUAGUGAUCCGGUGGUUCUGUAUGGAAGGGCCAUCGCUCAACGGAUAAAAGGUACUCCGGGGAUAACAGGCUGAUACCGCCCAAGAGUUCAUAUCGACGGCGGUGUUUGGCACCUCGAUGUCGGCUCAUCACAUCCUGGGGCUGAAGCCGGUCCCAAGGGUAUGGCUGUUCGCCAUUUAAAGUGGUACGCGAGCUGGGUUUAGAACGUCGUGAGACAGUUCGGUCCCUAUCUGCCGUGGACGUUUGAGAUUUGAGAGGGGCUGCUCCUAGUACGAGAGGACCGGAGUGGACGAACCUCUGGUGUUCCGGUUGUCACGCCAGUGGCAUUGCCGGGUAGCUAUGUUCGGAAUAGAUAACCGCUGAAAGCAUCUAAGCGGGAAACUAGCCUCAAGAUGAGAUCUCACUGGAACCUUGAGUUCCCUGAAGGGCCGUCGAAGACUACGACGUUGAUAGGUUGGGUGUGUAAGCGCUGUGAGGCGUUGAGCUAACCAAUACUAAUUGCCCGUGAGGCUUGACCAU
RNAcentral lists this ribosomal RNA (1373 nucleotides) under Pseudomonas sp. VS38. Its description in RNAcentral is "partial 23S ribosomal RNA". It matches the Rfam family "Bacterial large subunit ribosomal RNA", at positions 1573 to 2925 of the family's 2925-position model. The record is from RNAcentral. Lineage: Bacteria; Pseudomonadati; Pseudomonadota; Gammaproteobacteria; Pseudomonadales; Pseudomonadaceae.